This 445-nucleotide ribosomal RNA is filed under the name uncultured bacterium. RNAcentral's name for it is "bacterial SSU rRNA". It matches the Rfam family "Bacterial small subunit ribosomal RNA", at positions 330 to 792 of the family's 1533-position model. The record is from RNAcentral.
GCCAGACUCCUACGGGAGGCAGCAGUGGGGAAUAUUGCACAAUGGGGGAAACCCUGAUGCAGCGACGCCGCGUGAGUGAAGAAGUCUUUCGGUAUGUAAAGCUCUAUCAGCAGGGAAGAAAAUGACGGUACCUGACCAAGAAGCCCCGGCUAACUACGUGCCAGCAGCCGCGGUAAUACGUAGGGGGCAAGCGUUAUCCGGAUUUACUGGGUGUAAAGGGAGCGUAGACGGCGAUGCAAGUCAGAAGUGAAAGCCCGGGGCUCAACUCCGGGACUGCUUUUGAAGCUGUGUAACUGGAGUGCAGGAGAGGUAAGCGGAAUUCCUGGUGUAGCGGUGAAAUGCGUAGAUAUCAGGAGGAACACCAGUGGCGAAGGCGGCUUACUGGACUGUAACUGACGUUGAGGCUCGAAAGCGUGGGGAGCAAACAGGAUUAGAUACCCCGGUA